RNAcentral lists this unclassified non-coding RNA (4674 nucleotides) under Eurytemora carolleeae. RNAcentral's name for it is "uncharacterized LOC111705222". The record is from RNAcentral. Lineage: Eukaryota; Metazoa; Arthropoda; Copepoda; Calanoida; Temoridae.
CACAAAUUAUUGGCAAUCCUUAAAAUGUUAAUAAAUAUGAUCAAAUAUCGCUUCUUCAAAUAGACCCAAAUAUAAAUCGUUCCAUGCAAAUAUCCAAGAAAUAUCAAAGAAUUUCAUAUUCAUCGAAAAUACUGAUAUUUCUGGUUUGUUUUCAGAUGUAGAAAAUGAAUAUAGUGACUGACAUCGAUGCUGGGUCCGGUAAUUUGCAACAAAAUCCGAGUUUGGGAGACACAAAUCAGGAUGAGGAAGAAAAAGUUGAACCAAGUCUUGGACAGAUAGAUCAGGAUGAGGAAGGGAACGUAGAACCGACUCUGGGAGAGAUAAAUCAGGAUGAGAAAGAGAAAGCAGAAACAAACCCGCGAGGAGAGACAGAAACGCAGAAAAACAAACUCACUGAAAAUGAUCAUCCAGUCAGAACAAUAACAGAUCUUACCCCGACAGAAGAAAGUGAUGGAAGAAAAUAUUUAGAAACGGAGUCAAACGAGGUUGUUGAAGAGUUCUCAACUGGAAAUAGAAAAAAAGAAACUAAAAACGCUGUCAAUGAAUAUGAUUCUACCAAAGACGAAACUGGUGAUGUCGCAGCUCCGAUAAAAAAAUCAACACUGCCAAUAAUAACAGUUCGAAACGUGAACGUUAUAAACGAAACUUGUGAUAACCCCUCUCCUUUUAGUCAACAAAAUAUUAAAGAAAUGCAGCAUGAAUCUUAUAUGCAUAUAUUAGAAUCUUCAAAUCGUAGACCCAGUGAAACGGAAAUCCUUGUUCCAGACGGAAAUAAUUUAAACGUUUCAAGCUCCAAGAAAGAUAUAAUGCAUGAUCCGCUCAGUACAGCUACACAAUCAAUUGAACAUCAAACUAGUAAACUAUUACCAUCUCCAAGCCAAAUUAACCUAGUUCGGCCAAGAUCCAUUUCCCCAGACUCAUUUUGGAAUAACUCAGUCACCUGCGAUGAGUUUUUUGCUGAAGAUAAGAGCUAUCCGGACAUAUUUGACCAGUCUGUUCAUCUGGAAAUUGUGGAACAAAGCUCAACCCAUAGUGUUUUGGGAACUGAAAACUAUUCUAUUUUAAGAAACCAGCUUAGUAAAUCUCCUUCAGCAGUUCCGGAGGUUUCUGCCAAAACACAAGUUUCAAAAGAGCUGUUGAAGUCAAGAAGUGGAGACUCUCCUCUUACACAUCAGCCAGGGUCGUCCAACUUCUUUACAAGUGAAAAUAUGCCAGUGAUAUCUCUAGAAUGUGUUGAUUUCCAAGAGUCCCAGGAAGCUAUAAACCCGUCUGAAGUUGCUACUCCUAGUCCUAGAAAGCGGAAAGGGUUUCCGAGCAUGCAUUUUAGUACGGCCAAGUCCUUUGUUAAAAUAGCUCCAAAGCCAACUCCAGGUGCUCCUAUACCCCCGCCUCCCCCUUACUCAGAGGAAGUUCCCGGAGGUGCUCCUAAGCCCUCUCCCCCUUAUUCAGAAGAAGUUCCUGUUUUGUAUCCGCUCAAGCCUAAUAUGAAGGCGAAACUAAACAUGAUAGCCCAGUUCUCUGUGUUAGUCAAACUACAGAGCACUGAAGGAUGUUACAUGGCACGGAUUGCUUUCUUCAAGGAAGGAACUUUCAUAUGGGGGGAUAAAUCUAAACACCAUGAGACAUUGGGCAAGCUUUUCUCUGAUUCUAAUGCUUGGGGAAACAUUGAAGCUCAUUACUCUCAUCAGAAUCCUAAAAGGAAGUCCUAUGAUGCAGUUUUCAUUAAUAUCAACAACAGGAUGGUCUCUGCCUUGAAGCAUGGAACGGCAAUGGAAGUUAUUUCCUCUAUUGAAGCCGGCCAAUCAGUGUUCUGUACGACAACUGCUCUAUCCAAAACUGACAGCUACUUUUUGAAUUUAAAAAAAGAAAGAUGGUUGGUUUACUCUUGUUUGAUCAGCGGGAUUCAGUCGGAAUUACUAAAAGAAUCUAAGAAUGUUGAUCUUAAACUUCUAAUCAGUAUUGUCAAGCGAAACAUCACCCCAAGUGCAUUAAAUUCGGAAGAAAUGCGCCAGAAUCUUGCUGAAUCUCCAAGUGAAGCAGAAGACAGUAAUGAUAUUGUGAUAGUUAAAGAACUUAACUUGGCUCAAGAGAUCAUCGUCUUGGAGGAGAUGUGCGCAAAAUAUCCAACUCUAAAGGUCAAAGAAGCAGUGGCUCUCACAACCUGUUUUAUUUGUGGCAAAGAUUGUAAUCAUGCCAUAGCAUUGCUCUACCAUCUUUCAACAUCAAACAAGUGCAAGCAGAUGAAACCACUCAAAGUUGUUUUUCAGGAUACAGAAAAGAAGAUUGAUGCCAAGAUUUCUUGUAAGCUGCAUGUUUGUAACUUCAAACACACGCAGGAUCUAUGUUCGAAGAAGUUCCGAACAGCUUUGACCUACGGUAUUCACAGGGACUCUCACAUCAACCUCAACUGUAAGAUGAGUUGCUGGAAGUGUAGCCAUUUGUUCUUUGCCCCAUAUCCUUUCUAUCGUCAUCCAUGUGUUGCAAAUUUCUAUAGUUUGAAAAUGGUUAUUCUACAACAGAAGAUAUUUAAGGUUCAGUACCCUGGCUUGGCAGCUCAAGAAGUUUCCACUAUAAUCACUUGUCCUGCUUGUGGUAAAUCAUAUCGAUAUUUGUCUGCACUAGCUGGGCAUAUAUCAUUUAAUGUGAAUUGUGCAUUAAAAUUGAUCAGAAAUUCUGGAAGAGUCUCCUUAGAUUUGAGCAAGUGUUUAUUAGCGGAUAGAUGUAUUCCAAUAAUUAGUAGGAACUGUGAGAUCUGUUCCCUUUCAUGCAAAUCCCAGGUGUCCUAUCUCGCCCACAUGGAUCACCAUUUUACUGGAAUUAACUACGAGUGCUCAGUUUGCAAUUUUACAUUUAUCAGGGUUUGUGCUUUUUACAAGCACACUUGCCAUCAACCUAUCCCAUUCUGUAUAUUUUGUGAAGCUGAUAAAGAUGCUAUUGCAGAGAGAGACUCUCAUUCCAUCAAAACAGCUGAGAAUUCUAACGUUUUAAAAGUACUACAAGAAUCCAGCAGCCAAAAGCAGUCCUUUGAUGUGGAUUCACCCUCAAAGAAAUCCGACCAACAGAUGAAAAUAUCUAAAAAACAUCAAAAUUCCGUAAAAGAUGUUGCAUUAGCUACUAAUGAAAUUGUUCAUUCCUCGCUUCAAAAUUCACAAACAAUUGUAUCCAAUGCCAAUACUAUAAACCAUUAUGGCCCAAGUAAACUUUCUUUCACUACGGCAGGCAUAGAAACAUAUUCUAAAUAUACUUCUACAAGUACACACAUAACAUCCUGUGGCCAAGCCACAUAUCUUCCCUUAGUGAAUUCAACCCCUAUACCAGCUCUGCCACAAUCCUUCCCUUUGAACACCAGCUCAACACUUCUAACUGCAAGGAUCCAACCUGGGCUAAAACGAGCUGGAGAAUCUCUUGAUACUAAUCCAUCCAAGGUUUCUAGAAUUGAUAUUGACAAGUUGUUUGAAGAAAGUGAUUCAGAUGAUGAUGAAGAUUCUCUUGUGCAACUAGUGAUCCCAACUAUCAACCAGAUACCUGCUAGUAAUCCUAAGUCUUGUAACAAAAAUAGUUUGGCAGAAUUUCUUUCAGAAUCUGAAGAUUCGUCAAAUCCUGAGUCAAAGUCUUCUCAAGAUCCAGAAUUAAGAAUAUUUGACGAUUCAGGGACCAUGCCUAAAGAGGAUUCAGGGACCAUGCCUAAAGAGGAUUCAGGGACCAUGUCUGAAGAGGAUUCAGGGACCAUGCCUGAAGAGGAUUCCAGGACCAUGCCUGAAGAGGAUUCAGGGACCAUGCCUGAAGAGGAUUCAGGGACCAUGCCUGAUGAGGAUUCAGGGACCAUGCCUGAAGAGGAUUCAGGGAUAAUGCCUGAAGAGGAUUUAGGGACCAUGCCUGAAGAGGAUUCAGGGACCAUGCCUGAAGAGGAUUCAGGGACCAUGCCUGAAGAGGAUUCAGGGACCAUGCCUGAAGAUGAUUCAGGGACCAUGCCCGAAGAGGAUUUAGGGACCAUGCCUGAAGAGGAUUCAGGGACCAUGCCUGAAGAGGAUUCAGGGACCAUGCCUGAAGAAGAUUCAGAGACCAGUUCCAUUGAGAUAGGACCUGAAGCUGGGAAUUAUGGUUCUAAUGAUAUUACUGACAACGAUGAGAUCCUGGAGAACUUGUCAGACUGCUAUAUCUGUCACAACUGUGACCCAAUACAGCUGCUUAGGGGAGUGGACGGAUUAGCAGAUCACUGCUCUAGCUGUCCUGAUCAUGAAAAUAUACAACCUGUCUGGCUUUUUGAUCAGGUAAAAGUAAUGGUUACUGAUCUUGUUCAUCAAGCUAGACACAAGGAGAAAAUUAGGAAUCUCACGAAAAGAAGGAAAAUGGAGAAUUAGAGAGAUACAAAAGUGUCUGGUUCUGUGAUAUCUGUCUGUGGCUAAAUCAGUCAACUAUAAUUUUUCUGAAUUUAUAUUAAAUGUUUAGGAAUUAAAAAAUUGAGCUUUGAAAACGUAAUCUGUACUUUUUUAUUUAUAACAUGUUUUCAUACGUUUCUAUUUGUUGUUCAGUUCGGCCUUAAUAAAAAAGUCCCAACUAAAUUUAUCUAUUUAAAAUCAGUUAGCAGAAAAAAUUUGAAAGAAACAUAGUCAUCUAUCUAGUUCAACGAUCAGUAAUUUUAUAUUUUAUGUAACCUUAUAAAAUAUUUCAGAA